AGAGUUUGAUCAUGGCUCAGAAUGAACGUCGGCGGCGUGGAUUAGGCAUGCGAGUCGCGCGAGAAUGUAGCAAUACAGGACAGCGGCGAAAGGGAGAGGACAACACGGGAAUCUGCCUUGGGGACGAGGAUAGCGUCGGGAAACUGACAGUAAUACUCGAUAAUAUUUGCGGACCAAAGGUGUGAUUCCGCCCCAAGAUGAGCCCGUGCCCCAUUAGCUAGUUGGCAGGGUAAUGGCCUACCAAGGCUGUGAUGGGUAGCUGGUGUGAGAGCACGACCAGCCUCACUGGCACUGAGACACUGGCCAGACACCUACGGGUGGCUGCAGUCGAGAAUCUUCGGCAAUGGACGCAAGUCUGACCGAGCGACGCCGCGUGCGGGAUGAAGGCCUUCGGGUUGUAAACCGCUGUCGUAGGGAAUCAAAUGCAUGGGGGUACUCCUCUAUGUUUGAGAGAUCCUAGGAGGAAGGAGAGGCUAAGCUCGUGCCAGCAGCCGCGGUAAGACGAGCUCUCCAAACGUUAUUCGGUAUUACUGGGCUUAAAGAGUUCGUAGGCGGCUCUGUAGGUGAGAUGUGAAAGCCCUCGGCUUAACCGAGGAACUGCGUUUCAAACCACAGGGCUUGAGGGAGAUAGGGGUAAGCGGAACAGAUGGUGGAGCGGUGAAAUGCAUUGAUAUCAUCUGGAACACCGGUGGCGAAGGCGGCUUACUGGGUCUUUUCUGACGCUGAGGAACGAAAGCUAGGGUAGCGAACGGGAUUAGAUACCCCGGUAGUCCUAGCCGUAAACGAUGAGCACUAGUCUGAGGGACUCUCACAGUUUCUCGGACGUAGCGAAAGUGUUAAGUGCUCCGCCUGGGGAGUAUGGUCGCAAGGCUGAAACUCAAAUGAAUUGACGG
Molecule: ribosomal RNA, 893 nt
Filed under: uncultured bacterium
Lineage: Bacteria
Description: bacterial SSU rRNA
Rfam family: Bacterial small subunit ribosomal RNA
Source: RNAcentral